AGCUUGCUCUUAUGAAGUUAGCGGCGGACGGGUGAGUAACACGUGGGUAACCUGCCCAUAAGACUGGGAUAACUCCGGGAAACCGGGGCUAAUACCGGAUAACAUUUUGAACUGCAUGGUUCGAAAUUGAAAGGCGGCUUCGGCUGUCACUUAUGGAUGGACCCGCGUCGCAUUAGCUAGUUGGUGAGGUAACGGCUCACCAAGGCAACGAUGCGUAGCCGACCUGAGAGGGUGAUCGGCCACACUGGGACUGAGACACGGCCCAGACUCCUACGGGAGGCAGCAGUAGGGAAUCUUCCGCAAUGGACGAAAGUCUGACGGAGCAACGCCGCGUGAGUGAUGAAGGCUUUCGGGUCGUAAAACUCUGUUGUUAGGGAAGAACAAGUGCUAGUUGAAUAAGCUGGCACCUUGACGGUACCUAACCAGAAAGCCACGGCUAACUACGUGCCAGCAGCCGCGGUAAUACGUAGGUGGCAAGCGUUAUCCGGAAUUAUUGGGCGUAAAGCGCGCGCAGGUGGUUUCUUAAGUCUGAUGUGAAAGCCCACGGCUCAACCGUGGAGGGUCAUUGGAAACUGGGAGACUUGAGUGCAGAAGAGGAAAGUGGAAUUCCAUGUGUAGCGGUGAAAUGCGUAGAGAUAUGGAGGAACACCAGUGGCGA
Molecule: ribosomal RNA, 658 nt
Filed under: Bacillus sp. LIPOA/UEL_79
Lineage: Bacteria; Bacillati; Bacillota; Bacilli; Caryophanales; Bacillaceae
Description: bacterial SSU rRNA
Rfam family: Bacterial small subunit ribosomal RNA
Source: RNAcentral